AGAUUGAACGCUGGCGGCAUGCUUUACACAUGCAAGUCGAACGGUAACAGGCCGCAAGGUGCUGACGAGUGGCGAACGGGUGAGUAAUGUAUCGGAACGUGCCCAGUCGUGGGGGAUAACGCAGCGAAAGCUGCGCUAAUACCGCAUACGAUCUAUGGAUGAAAGCGGGGGACCGUAAGGCCUCGCGCGAUUGGAGCGGCCGAUAUCAGAUUAGGUAGUUGGUGGGGUAAAGGCCCACCAAGCCAACGAUCUGUAGCUGGUCUGAGAGGACGACCAGCCACACUGGGACUGAGACACGGCCCAGACUCCUACGGGAGGCAGCAGUGGGGAAUUUUGGACAAUGGGCGCAAGCCUGAUCCAGCAAUGCCGCGUGCAGGAAGAAGGCCUUCGGUUGUAAACUGUCUUUUCGUACGGAACGAACGUACCGUUGGUUAAUACGUGGCGUAAGUGAACGGUACCGUAAAGAAGUAAGACGACGACUAACUACGUAGCCAGACACGCCGA
Molecule: ribosomal RNA, 504 nt
Filed under: uncultured soil bacterium
Lineage: Bacteria
Description: bacterial SSU rRNA
Rfam family: Bacterial small subunit ribosomal RNA
Source: RNAcentral